GUUUGAUCCUGAGCUCUCUCCUAUUGCCUCAUAAGGAUCUCCUUUCCAGCAGCUCCCUGUGAUGAGAGCUCCCAGUCAACUUGGCUAGUCAAAGCUGGUAAUGAGCACUAAUCAUUGCACCUGUACAAGUUCCCAAGCAGGCUUCCGUAGCCUUGCUCUAGUCAAGAACAUAGGGAGCAAGCCCUCCAACUAUGGCCUAUUGUUAGGUGUUCAGAGAGAGUUUUGAGGAGCGUCUGUGUGCUUAAGGAGCUUUCUGAUUCCCACGUGGCACUAUAGUAAAAACCCUGUACUACAAAGAGAAGAGUGGAAAAGAAUACAUGACAAUGAAGCAGCCAUCUCUCAGUUUCCAGGACAACAAAAAUACACAAAAAGAAAAAAGAAAUCAACUAAAGCAAAAGGGAAUGGAAAACAAAGCUACGGAAAAAGAAUGAUCCUCCCUAUAAAGAAGCAACUCAGAAGAGAAAACGGAGAAGAGGACAGAAGUACCAAAGAAACGGCAGGAAAAGACAAUGGAAGCAGAAGCCACAGAAAAGGGACACACACCUUGCACACAUGGGCCUCCCUGCAAUGAAGACAAGGGAUUUCCACCGAAGCUUCAUUCCCCCUUGAGGUGCCAGGUAAAAGGACCUCCCUGUAAACGGGGAUCAAGGUCCACCCCUUCCCAGCAAAAAGGCUUGAGGUGUCCGUUUGGUAGCUAAGGCUGAGGGACCCCCCUUUAAGAAGGGUAGCGGUCUCUCUGUGCCUUUCAGCUCUUUAGGAGCUAGGCUUUGAAAUGCCCUGUGCCGUUGACCUCUCCCUGUAAGAAGGGUUCAGGUCUCCCCUUUCUAGACUGUUUUGGGCCGCUGGCACUUGCUGGGCAAAGAGACCCCCCUCUCCUGAGGGAAUGGAGGUUUCUCCCUUUCUCCACUCUAAAAGGGUUUAGCCAAGGCUUAAGGACCACCCUGUAAGGAGGGUUUGGGUCUCCUUUGCCAUGCUGCUUUCGCCACAGGUCACUUGGACAUGCCAGGCAAAAUGACCGCCCUGUAAAUAGGGUGUAAGGUCUUCUCCCUCUCCCUCUUAAGCCCGUGGGGCCUUUCCGUGCCUGUGGCUGAGGGACCCCCUUUUAAGAAGGGUUGAGCGUCUCUUUUCUCUUUGUCCUCGUAAACUGCCCUAGAAAUGAUUUCGACUUGGCUUUUUUGAAAUUUGCAGUCAAAUCCUAUUUGUGACCUGCUUGAAUUGAAGCCGGGGUCCGAUGAAACAUGGUGUGGCGAAGGGGCGGCUGUAAGGGGAUGGUGGAGGCCGUGAUAAAUUCGACCCUUUUUUGAAAAAAGCCAAGAAACCCCCCAAAACAAUCCAAAUCUUUCCAGGUCUGGAAAUGAACAGGUGAGGUGCGAGGCUCCUUUCAGCUCCUCACUUCCACGUAAUCCUUCCUCAUUUCCUCUUGCCUUGCCCAAUUGACACUGUCCCACCAACCUCAGCUUUGACCCUCUGUUUCCUGUGCAGAAUAAAACAUACUGCUGGCUGUAGUAGUGUUCCUUGUCUUGAUUGGGAAAGGUCCCUACGUGGUGUCCCAAUUCCAGGCCUUUGGUCUCUUUGCUGGUAGAGUGAGGCUAUAUUUUUGGACUGUCUUUGAGGUGAUUGAAAGAGCUGUCCUUCCUGACAGCUCUUUGGUGAUCUGGUGGCAUAGGUACACGUGUCGUGGUGUUAGAUCUUGCACGUGGGUGCACCUAACCCUACUAACAGGACUGAGUAAGAAGUAAGGGAUGUCUGUUUUGGAAAAGGGCAGGGGGUUCAAAGUUGGAAUGUUCUUGGUGGGGUAGACAGGUAAGUCGGGAAGGGUGUUGGUGAGGGAUGGAGGAUUCCUUGGUCAUGGGAGGUUCCCUUACCUGUUCAUUUCCAGACCUUUUCACGUCUGUGACUCCUUUCCCCUUCUUUCAAGGAAGUAGGAUUUUUGUGAAGGAAGGGUGACCGCCCUGUAAUUGGGGUUCGGGUCGCUUUCCUUUCCCCCUCUUUGCAUUGGCCCUCUUCAUGCCAAAGUGAGCUCCCUGUAACUAGGGUGUGCAACUUUCCCAAGCUUACUUGCCCAUUUGAAAGCUAGUUAUAGAAAGCAGCCUCUUUGGAGAGUUAGGGGUUUGUCCUUCUAGCUCUCCUGUCGCCGUGCCCUACUCACACGCACAACCAAGUCCAAACCGAGCGAACUCUACAUCCCGCUGGCCCUGACUGCUGCUGCUGCUGCAAGGUUUCCUGCUCUACGCCACAGCAACUCAGAAGAGAAAACGGAGAAGAGGACAGAAGUACCAAAGAAACGGCAGGAAAAGACAAUGGAAGCAGAAGCCACAGAAAAGGGACACACACCUUGCACGCAUGGGCCUCCCUGCAAUGAGGACAUGGGAUUUCCACUUAAGCUUCAUUCCCCCUUGAGGUGCCAGGUAAAAGGACCUCCCUGUAAACGGGGAUCAAGGUCCACCCCUUCCCAGCAAAAAGGCUUGAGGUGUCCGUUUGGUAGCUAAGGCUGAGGGACCCCCCUUUAAGAAGGGUAGCGGUCUCUCUGUGCCUUUCAGCUCUUUAGGAGCUAGGCUUUGAAAUGCCCUGUGCCGUUGACCUCUCCCUGUAAGAAGGGUUCAGGUCUCCCCU
Molecule: long non-coding RNA, 2613 nt
Organism: Chelonia mydas (Green sea turtle)
Lineage: Eukaryota; Metazoa; Chordata; Testudines; Cheloniidae
Exons: 4
Source: RefSeq, a predicted model, not a curated record